RNA transcript from Mytilus californianus (California mussel), 824 nucleotides. RefSeq lists it as uncharacterized. The record is from RefSeq and is a predicted model, not a curated record. The transcript is spliced from 4 exons. NCBI's taxonomy places the organism in Eukaryota, Metazoa, Mollusca, Bivalvia, Mytilida, Mytilidae.
AUUCACCUCAAUCUCUUACUGGUUUACUGUUUUUCGGAACCAGUUGCAGACUAAGGACGAAAAUGUCCUCUACUCCAGGAGGUCUCACUCCAGAGGACAAGAAGCACUAUACGUCGUUUACCCCUGACUAUACCAAAUGGCCCGACAAGGUUUUAGGCCCUUUAAAUUAUGAUACUCCACUGCGUCUGCUGCUUAAAGAUGCGAAAUCCAACUUUAAUGAGCCAUCUGGAAAUAAUGCUGAGAAAAAAAUAAAGGGAUUGACGAUUGUAGCAGCCAUGGGUGGAGGAUUUGUUGGAGUGUUUGAAGCUUUUGUUAAAGUUGCACCAAGUAUAUUCGCUGUUGGAGGAUAUUUCAGCAGAGCAGUAGUUACUUUAGGUACUGUUAACAUUGUUCACUGUUAGGGAUAUUUCAGCAGAGCAGUAGUUACUUUAGGGGCCUCAGGAUUUAUGUAUAGUGUUGGAACACAAGGAACUGCAGUAUUAAGGGGAAAGGAUGAUUUAUUUAAUUAUGCAGUUGGUGGAGCUUUAGCAGGAAUACCAAUGGCAAAAAGAUAUGGAAAUGUAUGGGCUGGUCUAGGUUAUGCGCUAGGAUUUACAACAUUGGGAAUCUUUACCAGGACCUUACUAGUUCGCCCAAAUGGGGAAUUUACCACUAAGAUGCCUCAAGAAUUUGGAAGUCUAUAUAGACGAAGUUAUGGAUAUAAUUUUUACCAUUAUAAUUCUUUUGGUCGUGAUAAGGGUACUUGAGACUGUUGCAUUUUUAUUUAUUUUUCUAAAUAGUAUUACAAGUGUCACUUGAUGAAAUUAAAAGAUUAACCAACUUGA